AUAGAAGCAAUGAUAAGGAGUAGUAUAUAGUAACUGGAUUUCAGAGAGAAGAUGUUUGGUGAAAAUCUUCAUGAAGGUUCUAUAGAAGGCGCCUUUGAGCUGUGCAUUGAAAGGUAGUAAUAUUGAUUAGAUGGCACCGGAGUUCCUACCGUUAGAAUGGGAGUAGCAUAAGGAAGCAUACAUUCCCGUGCUAACAAAGAGCAGAGACAUCUGAAAUUAGGUGGUACCACGGACUUAUUAUAGAGUUCGCCCUAAGC
RNAcentral lists this non-coding RNA (257 nucleotides) under Anaerosporobacter mobilis. Its description in RNAcentral is "T-box sequence". It matches the Rfam family "T-box leader". Rfam says of the family: Uncharged tRNA acts as the effector for transcription antitermination of genes in the T-box leader family. T-boxes are found upstream of many aminoacyl-tRNA synthetase genes and some amino acid biosynthetic genes usually in Gram-positive bacteria. Lineage: Bacteria; Bacillati; Bacillota; Clostridia; Lachnospirales; Lachnospiraceae. The record is from RNAcentral.